AGCAUUAUUAAAAGUUGUGGACUCGUUGUGGUCGCUCAUAACUAAGCGAGAAGAGGACCAUGGUGCUUUCCGAAGGAAUGAUUGAAGAGUCAGGCCGCAACAGCAGCGCCAUGGCAGACAGAAGACAACUGUUUGCUGAAAUGCGUGCACUAGAUCUGGACUCUAUCAGAUUGUCCACUUAUAGGACAGCAUGCAAACUGAGAUUCAUUCAGAAGAGGUGCAAUUUGCAUUUGUUGGAUAUCUGGAAUAUUAUAGAGGUUUUCCGGGAAAACAGACUCAACUCCAUGGACCUCAACACAGAGUUCUCAGUGUCAAAUUUGCAAGCAAUACUGUCCACCAUCUAUUACCAGCUGAACAAGCGCUUGCCCACAACCCACCAGAUCAAUGUAGACCAGUCCAUCUCGUACCUCCUCAACUUCCUGUUAGCGGCCUACAACCCGGAAGGUGUGGGAAAGAUGUCGGUUUUUGUGGUGAAGAUGGCUCUGGCUGCCCUCUGUGGAGGGAAGAUUUUGGAUAAACUAAGAUAUGUAUUUUCACAGAUAUCGGACCCAAACGGAGUGAUGAUAUACUCGCAGUUUGACCAGUUCCUAAGGGAGGUGCUGAAACUGCCCAUGACGAUUUUUGAGGGACCAUCUUUUGGGUACACUGAGCAGUCCACAAGAACCUGCUUUCCACAAGAGAAAAAGGUCUCGCUCAAUGUGUUUCUUGACACAUUCAUGUCGGAUCCUCCUCCUCAGUGUCUGGUUUGGUUACCGCUGAUGCAUCGGUUGGCAAACGUUGAGAACGUCUUCCAUCCUGUGGAGUGCUCCUACUGCCACAGCCAGAGCAUGAUGGGAUUCCGCUACCGGUGCCAACAAUGUGAUAAUUACCAACUCUGCCAAGAGUGUUUCUGGAGAGGCCAUGCCUCGGGCAGCCAUAGCAACCAGCACCAGAUGAAGGAGUACAUGUCAUGGAAAUCUCCAGCUAAGAAGUUGUCAGACGCUUUCAGUAAAUCUCUGAGUUGUGCCACCAGUCGAGAGCCUCCUUACCCGAUGUUCUCCGAUAACCCUGAGAAACCGCUCAACUUCACUCAUGUUGGGGACACAUGGCCUCCCAGACCUGUGAACAGUGGAAAUGAAUACAUGCUCUCUCACUCCAUGCCUUCCUCAGGAAACCCUUACUCCAGCAAAACAGGUGCUCACGAUGAGACGAAGCAAAUGAAGCUGUUUUCCCGGACGGCCCCAGAUCUUUUAAAAGGGAAAGGGGUUCAGUACAACCUCGAUAUUGCCGAUAGGCUCGCUGAUGAGCACAUACUUAUCGGACUUUAUGUGAAUCUCCUCCGAAAGGACCGUUCAUGUUUUCAGGAGAGCUGUAAAAACCAAGAUGAUGAGCAUUUCCUCAUUGCCCGUUACGCCUCCCGAUUGGCUGCUGAUGGAGCUGCAGCGAAGACCAGAGUCCCGGCGGACAUCUCUCUCUGUCUGGACUCCAAUAAACAGCAGCGACAACUUAUCGCUGAGCUAGAGAACAAGAACAAGGAGAUUUUGCAAGAGAUCCAACGACUGCGACAACAACAUGAAGAAGCUUCCCAGCCUCCGUUAGACAAAAGCCAACAAAACCCAACAUUACUGGCUGAACUGAGACUGCUCAGGCAGAGGAAGGAGGAGUUGGAGCAGAGGAUGUCGGCCCUUCAGGAGAGCCGUCGAGAACUCAUGGUCCAACUAGAGCAGCUCAUGCUUCUGUUGAAGGAAGAAGAGCUAAAAAGAGCUAACCAGGGCCCUGGCCCCUCCCCUCGUUCCUCCCCCAGCCACACCAUCAACACAUCCAUCCAAUCAGUGUCCGGCAAUACCACACCCAUCCCCAUGCCCAUCCAAUCAACAUCCGGCAAUACCACACCCAGUCAGACACCUCAGGACUCGCUCAUGGGCCUGGGAGGAGAGGUGCAGCAGGCCUUCGCUCAGGGCUCCAGAAGGAACUUAAGAAAUGAUCUCCUGGUAGCUGCAGACUCCAUAACCAACACAAUGUCUUCAUUGGUGAAAGAACUUAACUCGGAGGUGGGGAGUGAAACAGACAGCAUCUCUGACCUCACGUUCCCAACAUCAGACGUUCUCCACGCCAGGAGCGCUUCAAGAUCAGGGGCAGCAGGUGCGCUGGAGUCUGGGGAUUUCUAUGGACAUGAUCUAGAAAAGCAGCUGAACAGAGAGCUGAAGAUGGAGGAACGACUCAGACACACGCAGGAACAGGACAAGAACGUCCUGGUGACCUCACAAGAAUAGCUGUGUUAUAGUGAGUAAUGGGAGAUUGAGCGACUCUGAAGCACUGUGCAACCAGACCUGAGCUGGAACAUACCACACUUCUGACAACAUCAACAAUACUGUGGUUUCAUGAGAUUCACCCAAAACUUUGUACCUCUGCAUUCAGUGGAACAUACUAUUUGACUCCAAACGGCACACAGUUCGUUUACCAUGCUCUAUCAUUCAGCUUGCAAUAUUUUAAAUGUUUUAAGAAACAAUGAAAUAGGCAUUUUUAAGGCAAAAAUAUGUGACAGCAUCUGACACUACUGAAUGUGCUGUUAUGUCAAUCAAGGACUGACAAGAUGCCUUUUGGUGUAAGAUAUGUUGAUCUAGAACAGAAUUUUCAUGCUUGGAUAGGUUUUGUUAGUGAAUAUGAAUUCCUUGUAAAGACCGUCUCUAGUAGACGGGUUAAAGAAGACUGGUGUGGCUUUGACCAUCUCCAGACUCUUUCAUUGAUGUGUUGUCUUUGAUAUGCUACUGUCACACUGCAGCGCUCACAUUUUUCUCACUGUUUACUUUUUCCAGAACAAAAAAAGCAGCAUCCGCACCCUGCUGCCAAGCAUUGCACUUUUCAGUGAUUUUGCAUGGUCCUAAAAAAAAUAAAAAUAUUAUGUUGUACAAGUA
Molecule: RNA transcript, 2894 nt
Organism: Sinocyclocheilus grahami
Lineage: Eukaryota; Metazoa; Chordata; Actinopteri; Cypriniformes; Cyprinidae
Gene name: dystrobrevin alpha-like
Exons: 25
Source: RefSeq, a predicted model, not a curated record